This 497-nucleotide ribosomal RNA is filed under the name uncultured bacterium. RNAcentral's name for it is "partial 16S ribosomal RNA". It matches the Rfam family "Bacterial small subunit ribosomal RNA", at positions 28 to 507 of the family's 1533-position model. The record is from RNAcentral.
GAUGAACGCUGGCGGCGUGCCUAAUACAUGCAAGUCGAGCGAACGGACGAGAAGCUUGCUUCUCUGAUGUUAGCGGCGGACGGGUGAGUAACACGUGGAUAACCUACCUAUAAGACUGGGAUAACUUCGGGAAACCGGAGCUAAUACCGGAUAAUAUUUUGAACCGCAUGGUUCAAAAGUGAAAGACGGUCUUGCUGUCACUUAUAGAUGGAUCCGCGCUGCAUUAGCUAGUUGGUAAGGUAACGGCUUACCAAGGCAACGAUGCAUAGCCGACCUGAGAGGGUGAUCGGACACACUGGAACUGAGACACGGUCCAGACUCCUACGGGAGGCAGCAGUAGGGAAUCGUCCGCAAUGGGCGAAAGCCUGACGGAGCAACGCCGCGUGAGUGAUGAAGGUCUUAGGAUCGGAAAACUCUGUUAUUAGGGAAGAACAUAUGUGUAAGUAACUGUGCACAUCUUGACGGUACCUAAUCAGAAAGCCACGGCUAACUACGUG